RNAcentral lists this ribosomal RNA (186 nucleotides) under Triticum aestivum (bread wheat). RNAcentral describes it as "partial small subunit ribosomal RNA". Lineage: Eukaryota; Viridiplantae; Streptophyta; Magnoliopsida; Poales; Poaceae. The record is from RNAcentral.
AUGAGUACUUGCAUCGACGGCACGCCAAAUAGACAAGUCAAGGCAUCCCUCACCAUGCUCGUAUCAUGGACAAUAUGGAGCGAGCGUAAUGCGAGAGUUUUUAAACAUAACAGCGCCCCACCGACAAUCUUGCUCUCCUCCAUCUCUACAGAGGCCAACCUUUGGAUCGUCGCCGGUGCAAAAUAG